Molecule: regulatory RNA element, 59 nt
Rfam family: terC RNA
Source: Rfam
CGUGCGGGCCGGGGCCCUCUGACGAUCGUUUGCCGCGAUCGUGAUGUCGGACCGCAUCG